Oncorhynchus mykiss (rainbow trout) is the source of this 651-nucleotide non-coding RNA. The record is from RefSeq and is a predicted model, not a curated record. Lineage: Eukaryota; Metazoa; Chordata; Actinopteri; Salmoniformes; Salmonidae.
CUCAUUGAUCGAGACAGGUGUCUGUCAUCAUGACAUGCAGCACUUUGGGGUGGACCCACCUGUCUCAAUCAAUUAGAGAAGAUUACAAAAAGACAAGAUGGCAGCAUACACGUUGUUGACUUGCUUCAUGUAGGGAAAAACAUUUAAUUUAAUAACGAGGCAUUUUCUAAAUUCAAACUGACCCCUGCAACUGGACACGGACAUUUUGAGACUCUAGUUUCCACAAAUUGAGGACAAAGAUAGUAUCGCCAAUACCAACCAGCUUAGUUGAAAAAUCUCUGCUGACAUUUUGAAUAGGCAAGCAUGUAACUCCCAGUAUAAUGGUUACUCCAAAAAAUGGUUAAAUCACAUUAUCUGGUGUUACAAUCUGUAGCUAGCUGGUGAUGAAACAAAUAUGAACUGGCAGCUGGAUACAACCCAGACCUGCCAAGACCAUCUACUGAACAAACUUGGGGAACCAAGGGACGAGAUCACAGACUGAAGACUGCAGAGACUCAAUGCCACUCUUCAGUGCUACUCUUCAGUGCUACUGUUCUCCACCCGCUCAUCAUUAGGGAGACAUCAGGGGAUGGAGAGAUGGACAGGAAAGCAGAUGUCUCAUGGUCUGACAAACACCGCUCCAGCUCGGGCUCCUUUCACCACAGAUGUCUC